Mandrillus leucophaeus (drill) is the source of this 2220-nucleotide long non-coding RNA. RefSeq lists it as uncharacterized. Lineage: Eukaryota; Metazoa; Chordata; Mammalia; Primates; Cercopithecidae. The transcript has 2 exons. The record is from RefSeq and is a predicted model, not a curated record.
UUUAGUAGAGACGGGGUUUUACCAUGUUGGCCAGGCUAGUCUCCAACUCCUGAACUCCAAACGGCUAAUGUUUGUGUUUCUAAUAGAGACAGGGUUUCGCCAUGUUGCCCAGCCUGGUCUCAAACUCCUGGGCUCAAAUGAUCCACCUCGGCCUCCCAAAGUGCUGGGAUUACAGGUGUGAGCCCCUGCACCUGGCCUUUUUAGUUUUUUUUAUUUAUUUUCUUUGAGACGGAAUCUCACUCUGUUGCCUGGGCUGGAGUGCAAUGGCGUGAUCUUGGCUCACUGAAACCUCCACCUCCUGGGUUCAAGCAGUUCUCUUGCCUCAGCCUCCUGAGUAGCUGGGAUUACAGGUGCCUGCCACCACGCCUGGCUAAUUUUUGUAUUUUUUAGUAGAGAUGGGGUUUUACCACGUUGGCCAGGCUGGUCUUGAACUCCUGGGCUCAAAUGAUCCGCCUGCCUUGGCAUCCCAAAGUGUUGGGAUUACAGGCGUGAGCCACUGCACCUGGCCGUUUGCAGUGUUUUUAACCAAAGAAUUUGUAGAGUUGCCCAGACCAGGAAUCCUGGUGGCUCUAAAGGGUAAUCUACCUUGUCAGUAACAGACAGUGGGGGUGGUAGGAGGACAUUACUCAUACUGAAGAUGAAGACCAGACUUUGCUGCUUCACAGGCCAUGCCGGGGGUUGGGCCACUUCAGCUCCACUCCAUUCGUUUUCCUUUCCUAACUUGACAAUCAGUGAGCUCCUUCACCCUCCCUUAGUGCCUACUCCUGUCACUCCAAUGUCAACCCAUUGGGAAUUGAGGCCUGCAUGUGGGCUGUUACUUUGCGUCAUACAGAUGCUGUAAGAGGCCUUGCUGGAAUGUCCUAGGAAUCCCUAGUAGCAGUGGCUACUAGUCUUCUAGAAAAGAACUAUUGCCGCUGCCUUGUGCACAUGCCCCACCUUCUGGGAAAGUGGCAGCAUUGCGUUCAUGAGGGGCUUUGCAUUCUCAGCCAAGGGCAAUAAACUUGGGUGGGUGAUCUGGCCCAAACUUGCCCCUAGACUCGGCUAGCCCUGAAUCAGCAGGCUUGAGAGAGGAGGGUGGGUGUUAUAAAAGCCAGUCUGUGAAGGGUAAAUUCCAAAUCUUGUGCCUUGUUAUACCAAUCCUUUCUGAUUCCCUUUUAAACCAACUACUCUUAUUUUUGUGCUGCCUACAUUUUCAAUCCUCCCAAGCAUUAGCAAAUUCCUGAAAUUUCCUCAUUUGGUAGGCCUUCCAUAGGAGUCAGCUAUGGACUUCUAUAGGAGUUGGCAGCUAAAACCAGACUGAGCUUCUUCCUUCCUUCUGAUCUUUGCUGCACCUCCCAGGGGACGGUCCCCACAUGACUAUACAAAAGCCAGGUACCCUCAUCACCCCGGUUACCCCUGACCUGAUUGUUUUGAAUAAACUUUCAUUCUCCAAGCAGAUCCCCAAAUUUCCUUGUCCUUGUUACACAUCUACCUCACAAUCUCACAAUUAAACAAGGACAUAUUCACCUAUUUCUUUACUGUCUUCUCUAUGAGGGUUGGGAAGGUGGGGGCUAGAAAAGGCUCAUAAUUUUUAAACUCUUGGGAAUUUCUAUUCCUACAAUGUUUUCUCUGGGAUUUUUAGCUCACUGAUCACCCUAGAACAGUGUGAACUCUCCAGAUAGGUCCUGCUGUGAUAAGCCAGGGGAGUAGGCUGUGCAGUGACUGCUUAGGGUAGUAAGUAAUUGUUGGAGGACACCAGCAUAGGAACAGAACUUAGAACUUAAGAGGACAAGAAAGCUGCUCGGUGGCUGGUGUAUAGCUGUAAAGGUAACCAAAUACCAAAGAGGGAGUCUGUCAUUUUCAUAAGGCUGGAAGCGAAUGUUCCUUCUCUAUCUUAACAUACAGUUUAGGGGGUUCACCAAGACAAAGUUUCCAGGCUGGAGGGUAAUACUUUUCCAGCCUCAGUGAAGCCCCCACUCCAACAUAUACCCUUUCUGGGUGGGUGAAUACUUCUUUGCAUGUGGACAGAAAAUGUUUAAUUUAUACUUAAACACAUUUUAUGCAUUUUUAUCUGGAGACUUCUAGUUUUAUACUCUUCCCACAUCUAUGCCAAUGCCAUCAUUCUAACUUAUGCUUCUUUUCUACCCCGGUCUUUUCCUUGUCCUUCCCUACAACUUGGUAGAGGUCCAUUUUGUCUUACUUCACAUUUUUUUUUUUUUUUUAAUAAAACACAAAAGUCUA